AACGAACGCUGGCGGCGUGCUUAACACAUGCAAGUCGAGCGGAAAGGCCUCUUCGGGGGUACUCGAGCGGCGAACGGGUGAGUAACACGUGAGCAACCUGGCCUUCACUUUGGGUAGUAACCCUCGGAAACGGGGGACGUAAUACCGGAUAUUCAUUUAUUGCCGCAUGGUGUGGGGUGGAAAGAUUUUUGGUUGGGGGAGUGGC
RNAcentral lists this ribosomal RNA (205 nucleotides) under uncultured bacterium. RNAcentral's name for it is "partial 16S ribosomal RNA". It matches the Rfam family "Bacterial small subunit ribosomal RNA", at positions 29 to 230 of the family's 1533-position model. The record is from RNAcentral.